AACGUAGGAGGCAAGCGUUAUCCGGAGUUACUGGGCGUAAAGCGCAUGUAGGCGGUUAUACAAGUUGGUUGUGAAAGCUCCUGGCUAAACUGGGAGAGGCCGAUCAAGACUGUAUAGCUUGAGAGUGUUAGAGGGGCGCAGAAUUCGGGGUGGAGCGGUGAAAUGCAUUGAGAUCGGAAAGAACACCAACGGCGAAAGCACUCUGCUGGGCCGACACUGACACUGAGAGACGAAAGCUAGGGGAGCGAAUGGG
RNAcentral lists this ribosomal RNA (253 nucleotides) under uncultured bacterium. RNAcentral describes it as "partial 16S ribosomal RNA". It matches the Rfam family "Bacterial small subunit ribosomal RNA", at positions 524 to 776 of the family's 1533-position model. The record is from RNAcentral.